This 301-nucleotide ribosomal RNA is filed under the name uncultured bacterium. RNAcentral describes it as "partial 16S ribosomal RNA". It matches the Rfam family "Bacterial small subunit ribosomal RNA", at positions 509 to 807 of the family's 1533-position model. The record is from RNAcentral.
CAGCCGCCGCGGUAAAACGGAGGGUGCAAGCGUUAAUCGGAAUUACUGGGCGUAAAGCGCACGCAGGCGGUCUGACAAGUCAGAUGUGAAAUCCCCGGGCUUAACCUGGGAACUGCAUUUGAAACUGUCAGGCUGGAGUCUUGUAGAGGGGGGUGGAAUUCCAGGUGUAGCGGUGAAAUGCGUAGAGAUCUGGAGGAAUACCGGUGGCGAAGGCGGCCCCCUGGACAAAGACUGACGCUCAGGUGCGAAAGCGUGGGGAGCAAACAGGAUUAGAUACCCGAGUAGUCCCUGUCUCUUAUAC